Molecule: non-coding RNA, 2870 nt
Organism: Penaeus vannamei (Pacific white shrimp)
Lineage: Eukaryota; Metazoa; Arthropoda; Malacostraca; Decapoda; Penaeidae
Source: RefSeq, a predicted model, not a curated record
UAAGGACGCUGCCCACAGGUGUUCUCACAGGUAUACUGAAAGUGUGUAAACAAAGUAUUGAGAACCAAGGGUAUCUCGUGCUAUUCACAACGUUUUGGUGGGCGUGCGUGUCGGCGUGAGGUCCAGCGCGGUCGAGUUCCCCCGCCAUGGCUUGUUCGCUGAGGAAUAUCAUCAACUUCGGCCUCCUGCUCGCCGUCAUCGACCUGCUGCACGGGAUAGCCACCUGCGCCUUCUACGGCUAUGAGCUGGCCGUCCACUACCGGUGCCACUGGAACCACGGCAUCCGCUGGUGCCAGUACUACCUCUACCACACAGACCACAGCGUGCGCGUGAACAUCGGCAUCGCUGAGGGCGUCGGAUGCCUUCUUCCUCCACCAUCCUCAUCAUCAUCGGACUCUGCAAGUACAAACCCAUCGUGACCUGGAUGUGGCUGCUCAAACCCAUCGCCGUCAUCAUCAUCAACGUGUUCUUCCUGAGCCGCUGGCUGGUGCAGAAGUCCCGCUACUACCACAGCUUCUGGGACCGACACAACUACGACCAGGACAACGUGUUCAUCUUCGCGGGUCUGGGCCUCACCCUCGUGCAGUUCUUCGUGAUGCUGUUCUUCUUCUGCAUCAACGGCUCCUUCACCUACAAGAUCCGCAAGCAGCGCGUUCCCACCAUGGAGACCGACAUAUGAACCGGGGUGUAUAAUCUCACCACCAUGGAAACACGCAUUAAGUGAGGCACUGCAUGGUGACCCGCAUGUGAACCAUCCCCAUUACUGGAAGGAAAAACAACAAUACCAUCAACAACAACAAACGCGCUAGGUGCCCUACUUCACGGGGACCAACGCAGUCUAUUUAUAAGGGAAAUCGCCAUGGAAGAGGAGGCGCCCCGGGGGGAUCUGCACGAGAGGAAUCGUCAGAAGAAGAGGGAGGAAGAGGGUCGACCUCCUUGGACCUCAGACGGAUCCUCUCCCCGCGCCUUUUCUCAGAUGAAAGUGAUUGUUGCAUUGUGGGAUGAACGCAUGACCCAUUCUUACUCGUAUGUCGUCCCGUGCCCACUUGACGUGAUUUAUAAACCCACCACCACAGCGGAAAUCAGAAUGUGAGUUACUCAAUGUGUGUUCUCUGCCCACCGCCAUGGAGGUUAGAUUGAAAGAUACACGCCCAUCUUUAGAGAGCAGCUCAAGAGGCAGCUGUCUGCUCGAGGCCUCCUGUAUACAGUUUUACAUGUAGUAUAUUUGCGAAGGAAAUUUGUGGUCAUUUCCACUUCUUUUUGGAAUGUUUUCAUUGUACAGAUUUUUUUUUAUGUUCGCUCUCUGGAGUUUACUGAAUGCUUUAACAGAAUCUCUGACAGUCUGAUCAUAUCUACAAAGUUAAAUUAGCUAUGAAAUGAGGGCGACUAUACAAUUUACCUUUAUCCGGUAUUUUAAUUAUUGAAAUGUAUAACAAUGCAUUUAGAUUCUGAACGUUAUUAUAUAUUUCUCGGUGAUGUGAACGAUUUUUUUUAUUGUGAUGAAACUAAUGCAUUAUACAUGUUGCUCCCAGUGUUUGUUAGACAGAGAGACACAAUGCAUUAUAUAUGUGUCUCUCUGCAUCACCGUAGCAUAGUGUUCAAUGUGCCAAAGCAAAGGAACUGCCAAGAGAGUGCCAGUGUGCCACUUAAAGGUUGUAGCACAAUAAAAGGAAGAAUGGAAAAGAGAAAAAAAUAUAAACAGGUCAUUGAGUUAGGAAUUUCUGUGUAGGUAGAGGUUGGUGAUUGUCUUCCCUAAAACCAAUAUAGAUUUAAAAGAUUGUUAUCGUCCAGAGGGUAUGUGUAUGUAUAAUACAAACAACACACACACAACACACACACACACACACACACACACACACACACACACACACACACACACACACACACACACACACACACACACACACACACACACACACACACACACACACACAUACAAUUACGAUUCUAACAUUUCAACAGACUUGCCCCAUGUAGUAUAAGGGUUGAAUUGUCACAAAGAGGGCGUCACGUGUUAGGUGAUUCCAGUGCUUUAAAUUGUGUCUUAUGGGCGUCCAGUGUGCGAAGGCCUGUCAUGAGUUCCUCUUUCUUAUUUUGACUUCUUGUUUCGAGAAGGGAGAACCCAUAAAAAAAAGAAUGUAAGAAGAAUCUAUAAGUUCUGCCGCCUUUCCCUACUUUUUAAUGGAAUUGACCACUUACUGAAUAAAGAGAAAGAUUUUGAAGUUUAUUUUCGAAUUAUGCAUGAAGUUAAAUGUUAAGGAGUAUUUUUAUGUCUUGGAGUUUUAUUGGAUUUUUAUACUUCAGUAAAACUGUGUUUGAAUACUUCAUUUUAAGGUGGGUAAUAAAUUGCAGAUUUUAUAAUCACGUAUGUUUUUAGGUAUGAGCGAUCAUUAUGCUGUUUUAUAUAUGUGUGUGUGUGUGUGUGUGUGUGUGUGUGUGUGUGUGUGUGUGUGUGUGUGUGUGUGUGUGUGUGUGUGUGUGUGUGUGUGUCUGUCUGUGUUUGUGUCUCAACAAGCUAACAUUUCUUGCUUUCAUCUGCUUCUUAAAUCGAAACCUCGAUAUUUUUUCACCAAAUAAUGACGCCAAAAUAUAUUUUAAAAAUGUUAGGCUGCAGAAGAGAGAUUCACAACAAGGAUGAAACAAACUUUCAUUGAUCUCAUCUUGUCCUUUCCCUCUGUACCAAUCGCAUUCACAUUCAACCGGUGUAAUCAACAUAUAAAUAGCUUAUCAACCCUUAGAGUCGACAUUUUAUCAUGAGCCACAGUCCCUGGAAUUCGAGGUCUUGCCCAACCGAUGCCCUUAGUCAAACCCCUUUCGACACCCGAAGCCUCAAAGACCCCUCAGUCUAUUUUCAGCUCUCCAUAAAGACC